GUAAUGCCGGAUGCUCCGACUCCUCGCAUGGGGUGUCGGGAAAGAUUUCAUCGGUAUGGGAUGGGGUCGCGUCCUAUCAGGUAGUCGGCGGGGUAACGGCCCACCGAGCCUACGACGGGUAGCCGGCCUGAGAGGGCGACCGGCCACAUUGGGACUGAGAUACGGCCCAGACUCCUACGGGAGGCAGCAGUGGGGAAUAUUGCACAAUGGGCGCAAGCCUGAUGCAGCGACGCCGCGUGCGGGAUGACGGCCUUCGGGUUGUAAACCGCUUUUGAUCGGGAGCAAGCCUUCGGGUGAGUGUACCUUUCGAAUAAGCACCGGCUAACUACGUGCCAGCAGCCGCGGUAAUACGUAGGGUGCAAGCGUUAUCCGGAAUUAUUGGGCGUAAAGGGCUCGUAGGCGGUUCGUCGCGUCCGGUGUGAAAGUCCAUCGCUUAACGGUGGAUCUGCGCCGGGUACGGGCGGGCUGGAGUGCGGUAGGGGAGACUGGAAUUCCCGGUGUAACGGUGGAAUGUGUAGAUAUCGGAAAAGAA
RNAcentral lists this ribosomal RNA (532 nucleotides) under Bifidobacterium pseudocatenulatum. RNAcentral's name for it is "bacterial SSU rRNA". It matches the Rfam family "Bacterial small subunit ribosomal RNA", at positions 163 to 706 of the family's 1533-position model. The record is from RNAcentral. Lineage: Bacteria; Bacillati; Actinomycetota; Actinomycetes; Bifidobacteriales; Bifidobacteriaceae.